This 785-nucleotide long non-coding RNA is filed under the name Homo sapiens (human). RNAcentral describes it as "non-protein coding lnc-FTCDNL1-4:31". Lineage: Eukaryota; Metazoa; Chordata; Mammalia; Primates; Hominidae. The record is from RNAcentral.
CAGCCCUGUAGGAGACACCUCCAGAGAAAGUAACAGCUCUCAAUUGAUUAGCUGAGGAAGACACCAGACAAAUGAGUUACACUGUUUUGGACUCCCCAACACAACCCAGCCACCGGCUGAAUGCCACCAAAUUACCUUCUAGUUAAAGGUUUAUGGAGCAAACGAAUCACCUAUUCAAUAUCUGCUUGAAUUUCUGACUCAAAAUACAUCAGGUAUGUACUGUGUGACUUAAAUAUUGAGUUUAUUUUUAUCAAAUACCUGUCAAGAAAGAAAGUCAAUUCUGAAACAGCAGAAGCUCAAAGUUCUACAGAUGGCUUUCAAAGGAAUUUGAAUUAGACAUCAUUUGAUGUUGCAAAAAACAAUGACAUCUUUUAUAGCUCUAAACAUCAGUUUUUAAAUUAGAGAUUGAUCUAUAAAGGAGCUAAGUUUGCAUAAUCAUUAUUCAUUUUAAGAUAAUAAUAUAUGAUAGGUACUAAAUUAUAUAGUAGUUUUGUGUAGAGAUUUAUACAUAUUUUCUGAUUGCCAUCAUCACAUCAUCUAAUUAUUUAGAAAUUUCAUUUUCAGAACCUUGGAUUUUGGACAUAGAGCUUUGAAAAAUAUUGUACUUUAUUUUGAGAUGAAAAUGUGGUCAUUCACAUUUUCACAGACCUGCGUGGAGCAAUCUGCAGGGUGGGGGUGAGAUUUGGGAGUAGAGGGGAGGUGGUAAUAGACACACACAAAACUUGUUAAUUGCUAUACAAGAAGCAUGUGCUUUAAAAAUGACAAUAACAAUCACAAAACCAGUU